RNAcentral lists this ribosomal RNA (564 nucleotides) under Vishniacozyma sp. Its description in RNAcentral is "partial large subunit ribosomal RNA". It matches the Rfam family "Eukaryotic large subunit ribosomal RNA", at positions 57 to 608 of the family's 3401-position model. The record is from RNAcentral. Lineage: Eukaryota; Fungi; Basidiomycota; Tremellomycetes; Tremellales; Bulleribasidiaceae.
AAAAGAAACUAACUAGGAUUCCCUUAGUAACGGCGAGUGAACCGGGAUGAGCUCAAAUUUAAAAUCUGGCGUCUUUCAGGCGUCCGAGUUGUAAUCUAUAGAGGCGUUUUCCGCGCCGGACCGCGUCCAAGUCUCUUGGAAUAGAGUAUCAAAGAGGGUGACAAUCCCGUACUUGACGCGACAACCGGUGCUCUGUGAUACGUUCUCAAUGAGUCGAGUUGUUUGGGAAUGCAGCUCUAAAUGGGUGGUAAAUUCCAUCUAAGGCUAAAUAUUGGCGAGAGACCGAUAGCGAACAAGUACCGUGAGGGAAAGAUGAAAAGCACUUUGGAAAGAGAGUUAAACAGCACGUGAAAUUGUUAAAAGGGAAACGAUUGAAGUCAGUCGUGUGAAAGGUAUUCAGCCGUCUCUGGCGGUGUAUUUGCCUUUCACGGGUCAACAUCAGUUUGAUCCGGUAGAAAAAGGCGGGAGGAAGGUGGCACCCUCGGGUGUGUUAUAGCCUCCUGUCAUAUGUGCCGGACCAGACUGAGGAACGCAGCUUGCCGCAAGGCCGGGGUUCGCCCACGU